Long non-coding RNA from Astatotilapia calliptera (eastern happy), 3938 nucleotides. The record is from Ensembl. Lineage: Eukaryota; Metazoa; Chordata; Actinopteri; Cichliformes; Cichlidae.
UGGUGUAGAUGUUCGUAAACAUAAAAUAUGAGAUGCGAAAUUUCAGAUUUGACUCUUUUUAAAGUUAAUUAUGCACCAGUUAGAAAAGUGAUUUAAAACCAGUAAGUAUCUUACACACUGAGAAAGCACACAGGUGCAGGUCAGAAGCAGGUUUCAGGUUUAUUGAAUAAGUUGCCAUGCAGUUAGUCAGGACGUGACAGAUGGACUCUACAUGAUGAGAAACGGGGACACACCUCCAGUCGUCAGCUGGAUCUUAACGAUUCAACACAUUAAUGUACGUCGCUGCAGAGAUGCAGACUUGGGCUACGUUCACACUGCAGGUGAAAGCGCAUCAAAUCCGACUUCUUUGACCCUGUGCGACGUGUAUCCGAUCGUAGUGUGGCAGUGUGAACGGCACAAAUCCGAUCUGGGUCACUUUCGUAUGUGGUCCUGAAUCUGAUACGUAUCUGAUGUUUCAGAAAGCGACUGCUGUUUAAUGGUCAUGUCGCAUUAAAUACGUCUUUUACGUCACUGACACAAGACGGACGCCAAUUAACAGCGCCAGAGAAGACAUCGUGAACGCUUCCUGGCCAUCCAGUGAAACUGUUGGGAACAAUGUUGGAGAAACGUGAACAUUUUCUUUGUACUGUAUAAUCUGCAGAUUCUGACAGAAAUCUGCAGCUAUCCUUUGAAGCAGCGCUCCUCUGAAACAGCAAUAAGGAUCAUUAUUAGGCCAAAUGUAGAUAACACAAUAACUUUAUAACUUAAAGCAAAAUUGGGAAACGUAAAGUCUGAAACAGUCAAACAUACUGUUGCUCUGGGUCUAAACAGAGCGCGUUGUGUGUGACGUCUUCCUUUGCGCAUGCGGCUGCUUUCAGGGUUCACACUAGAGCGCGUUUGCUGUCACAUUUUAUUUGUAGUGUGAACAAGCAGACAAAGAAAUCGGAUUUGAUCCAAAAAUCAGAAUUGAGCUGUAAGACCUGCAGAGUGAACGUAGCCUAACAACAGCUGCAGGAGAGGGCCAAUAGUGUUUGAGUGCCCAAUCACCAGGAGUACAUAAAGUCAACCUCAUGAUUCAGUGGCUUCAUGGACCCCACCGCUCUCGUGUAUUUACACUAAUCUUCAUAUAAAAGUGCUUUUCCACAUAAUCCGACUUCAUAAGCACGCGGUAUGAUUUGGGGUAAAUGACUUGUUGAUCUCACGCGUCCUCCUCCCGUCUCCUGAGAUGAUGCUGUUUGUGAAUUACCUCAGAAAUCACUCAAAGUGUUUUCAUAUAAUGUUUCUUCACACAGUGAAAAGUAUCGUUGACCGUGACGUUAGCGUCGUUAGCAUUUCCCAUAGAAAUUCCUCAAAAACCAAACACUAACAUGGCUGCUGUAUGACUCCGUGUUUUAGUAAAAUAUUAACAACAAAGAAUCCUCACAAACGACAGAAACGUUUCAUAAAUGCACUUUUUCACACUGACUGUGUUCAGAGCUGAUGACAGAAAGGCAAUGAGGAUGUUCAGCGGCAGGGAUGAGUUUCAACCAUCCGUUCUCCCCACUAGCCUCCAAACUGCAACUAACCCAUCAUUUGGCUCGACUUUACGGGCGUCUCCAGCUUGUCAAACAGCAGUAUCACUCCCCAAUGAUUUUACAUUUUAAAGAGCCCCUCUGUAGGAGACGGGACUUGAAAUGUAAAUAAAUGCAGAUGAGCGAGGGGUACUGGAGUGUUGAAACUUGUCCCUGGAGCCGUCAAACCGAGGAUAUAAAAAGCACUUCUGAGGUCCCACCGUCCCUCCUGUUGCAUUGAUAAGUUUGUACCUUCUGUACGUCUCAAGGCAUCGAUUUUUCUCACGGGAAACAAACUCGGUUCGUGUACAGAUUCACAAAUAACGAACGACAAAGAAUGCAAAGAGCGUUUGCUAAUCUGGUAAACUUUAGACACAGCUGCACGUAAAAUAGUGAGCUAGUUAGCAGACGGUAACGUGGCGCUGCGUUCACGACAACAGAACUGUGGUUGUCCUUUUACAGUGGUCAGAAAACGACUACAAACACUGGCUUUAUUCCAGAAAGACCCAGUUCACUGUCCGCCGGCUCAGCGUCCCCCUUUUCACAGUUAAACAUUCACUAAUAAACAAGAAUAAAAACAAAACAGAAAAUAAAACUGUCAUAAUGUCCGAGCGUCAGGUGACCAGAUUUUAGCCCCGACCUGAUGUUAGCUGAUUACCAUUCGUGUGGAAUAACUAACCAAAUUGGAAAGAUUUUGUGUCUUGCUACCUGCUAAUAAUCAAGUGCAUCUGAGAGUAAAAUUAUAUUUUAAUCGUUUUAGAGGAAACUGCCACUAUAACACUUCUUUCACUGAAAUUAGCUCCAGCUAACUGCUCAUCUCUACAAAUGUAACGCUGCAUUAGCUUACCGUUUAGCUAGCUGUAAAAAUGCUUUAUGUUUGAUUUCAGUCAUAACUGGAACUGCAGCUCAAAGCCAGCCUCCAGUGAACUGCUGCUGCCCUUAAACAGCGGGGAAAGUUGCUAUUUACAGAAAUGACAACUGUUAGCUAGCAAACGCUAUCCGAAACGUUCUCAUUUAGUGCGUCAGGUAGAGGUGCUGUGUAGAAAUACACAGGAAGCCGUUUCUAUGUGUAAGACGCUGAAAUAAAGCCAGUGUUCCAGCAUUAGAGCGACAUCAGCAGCAGCUGCUAAAACCGCUAGCUUUCGCUCAACAGCGAGAACACGUCUAAAACAUUCACGUGUUCAGGAAACUGAUCGUCAGUCUCAAAGAACCCAAGCUCGGCGUGCACAGAACCGCCUCUUCUGACUGGCCAGCAUUAACCAAGGGAAUUGGGGCCAAUCAGAGAGGAACACUGCUGAGCUCUUAGUACGUAAAUACAGACUCACAUAACAAUAACGCGUUUAGUCCAAAGUGAUAAUAAUAAGUAUACUUCUCCUGAUAAGAACCCUUUGGCUCAGAACGGCCACUUACUGUACACUGACAUUGUCACUGUAUAAUUUCUAGCAUGUGCACCGAGUUGACAGAAACACAUGAACAACAAAACUUCAGUAACUUUUUUUCAGAAAUUGAAAUUGGACCUAAAAAGAUGUUGUAACAAACAUUAAAAUAAAAUAAAAAAAAAUUUCACCAGACACUCGUCACAUUGAUAAAGGUUUAGUAUUUUCUUACACUAACAAGACAAAACUGUUUUAUAAAAGCUCUCAAAGGCAACUUACUGUGUUUUUUGUGCUGAUGCUAGUUGGUCAAAGGUUUAAACGGAAAGUGCAGUUCAGAAGAAAGUGCUGCCCCUCUACAGACUACUGCAAGUCAGCCAAUCAGACGAAAGUAGGCUUAUAGAGAGACAGCAACUAAAAUGGCGUGUUUGUUAUCUUGUUACAAAACGUACUUAUUUUAGAGAGGAAUAAAUAAAAAAAAGUAACUUGGCGAAAAGUUUUAGCCAAGACACUGUCAGGUUAAUUGCCAACAAACUGCAAUGAGGGAAGAAUCAACUUAAGUGUAUAAUAAACGUAUACUCUCUGCUGCUAGUAGUUUAGUGGUUAUUAGCUAGUGAGAGAGCAUAAGCUGUAUACUACAGCAGUGAAAGAGUAAUGUUAUUAGGAAAUGAGGACAGGACUCAUUUAUUUCUUUGAUUAGCCUUAGCUAGGUUACCGUAGCUCAGGGGGUUGGGAAUCGCACCUGUAACCGGAAGGUCGCCGGUUCGAUCCCUGGGCUCUCUGUCCUGGUCGUUGUGUCCUUGGGCAAGACACUUUACCCUACUUGCCUACUGGUGUUGGCCAGAGGGGCCGAUGGCGCGAUAUGGCAGCCUGGCUUCUGUCAGUCUGCUCCAGGGCAGCUGUGGCUACACCUGUAGCUGCCUCCACCAGUGUGUGAAUGUGAGAGUGAAUGAAUAGUGGCAUUGUAAAGCGCUUUGGGUGCCUUGAAAAGCGCUAUAUAAAUCCAAUCCAUUAUUAGGUAUUAAUUUUGUUAGCU